Long non-coding RNA from Morone saxatilis (striped sea-bass), 431 nucleotides. RefSeq lists it as uncharacterized. The transcript has 4 exons. Lineage: Eukaryota; Metazoa; Chordata; Actinopteri; Moronidae. The record is from RefSeq and is a predicted model, not a curated record.
UGUGUGUGUGUUGGGCGGGGUUGGUGAUGCAUUGAAAAAGAACUUAGAUCUUUUUCUGCCAAACUGGUUUUGUGGACUCUGGUUGUGGGAGUUGCCCUCCUCCCUCCUGCCUGAAUAUCUCCCCCACUCUCUCUCUGUCAGCCUCAGUGUGUCUUCACCUCCUCCUCACCCGUCUCUCUGACAGUCUCUCCCUCCUCGGCUAGAAGCAGAAGUCUCAACCGACGGCAAAAAUGUUUAAAGUGAAUUCUUUUAUCAGAGGCAUCGUUAAUGUCGUGAGCAACAUCGACCCCGCUCAGUUUAUUCCUUCAGACCCACCUCCACCUCGCAGACCCCUGAACUUCGCCGAGUCUCACGAGAGCGAUGAGGAGAAACAGUUUCGGAGAGUUUUCAAACAGCUGGCUGGAGACGUGAGUCCGAAACAUUCACCUUUA